AACACAUGCAAGUCGAGCGAGGCGGAAGGGGCAAUCCUUCCAGUCGAGCGGCGGACGGGUGAGUAACACGUGGGUAACCUGCCCGGAAGUGGGGAAUACCUCGGAGAAAUUCGAGCUAAUACCGCAUGACAUCUUUGGACGAAAGUCCUGACGAUCAAAGCGGGGUCGCAAGAUCUCGCGCUACCGGAUGGGCCCGCGCCCGAUUAGCUAGUUGGUGAGGUAAUGGCUCACCAAGGCUUCGAUCGGUAACCGGCCUGAGAGGGCGAUCGGUCACACCGGAACUGAGACACGGUCCGGACUCCUACGGGAGGCAGCAGUGGGGAAUCUUGCGCAAUGGGCGAAAGCCUGACGCAGCAACGCCGCGUGGAGGAUGAAGGCCCUUGGGUUGUAAACUCCUGUCGGCUGGGAAGAAAUCGAUCGUGGCUCAUACCCACGGUCGUUGACUGUACCAGCAAAGGAAGCCCC
Molecule: ribosomal RNA, 465 nt
Filed under: grassland soil clone sl2_511
Lineage: Bacteria
Description: bacterial SSU rRNA
Rfam family: Bacterial small subunit ribosomal RNA
Source: RNAcentral